Molecule: ribosomal RNA, 412 nt
Filed under: uncultured bacterium
Lineage: Bacteria
Description: bacterial SSU rRNA
Rfam family: Bacterial small subunit ribosomal RNA
Source: RNAcentral
AUUGAACGCUGGCGGCAGGCCUAACACAUGCAAGUCGAGCGCGAAAGUCUUCGGAUGAGUAAAGCGGCGAACGGGUGAGUAAUGCAUGGGAAUCUGCCUGGUAGUGGGGGACAACGUCUCGAAAGGGACGCUAAUACCGCAUACGCCCUACGGGGAAGGGGGGAGUCUUCGGACCUCUCGCUAUCAGAUGAGCCCAUGUCAGAUUAGCUAGUUGGUAGGGUAAAGGCCUACCAAGGCGACGAUCUGUAACUGGUCUGAGAGGAUGAUCAGUCACACUGGAACUGAGACACGGUCCAGACUCCUACGGGAGGCAGCAGUGGGGAAUAUUGCGCAAUGGGCGAAAGCCUGACGCAGCGACGCCGCGUGGGUGAUGAAGGCCUUGGUCGGUAAAGACCCUGUCGCAGGGGAAGAA